AGAGUUUGAUUAUGGCUCAGGAUGAACGCUGGCGGCGUGCCUAAUACAUGCAAGUCGAACGAGGCCCUUUGUAUUCGUACGAAGGUGUCCUAGUGGCGAACGGGUGAGUAACACGUAGGUGACCUGCCCCGAAGCGGGGGACAACUCCGGGAAACUGGAGCUAAUACCCCAUGUUUUCCAUGGUGUUAGAGGACCAUGGAACAAAGGAGCAAUCCACUUUGGGAGGGGCCUGCGGCCCAUCAGCUAGUUGGUAGGGUAAUGGCCUACCAAGGCUAUGACGGGUAGGGGACCUGAGAGGGUGGUCCCCCACACUGGAACUGAAACACGGACCAGACACCUACGGGUGGCAGCAGUGGGGAAUAUUGCACAAUGGGCGAAAGCCUGAUGCAGCAACGCCGCGUGCGCGAUGAAGGCCUUCGGGUUGUAAAGCGCUUUUCUGGGGGAAGAGGAAGGACGGUACCCCAGGAAUAAGUCUCGGCUAACUACGUGCCAGCAGCCGCGGUAAAACGUAGGAGGCGAGCGUUAUCCGGAUUUACUGGGCGUAAAGCGCGUGUAGGCGGUUAGGUAAGUCGGACGUGAAAGCUCCCGGCUCAACUGGGAGAGGCCGUUCGAAACUACCUGACUUGAGGGCAGUAGAGGGAGGUGGAAUUCCGGGUGUAGCGGUGAAAUGCGUAGAUAUCCGGAGGAACACCAGUGGCGAAGGCGGCCUCCUGGGCUGACCCUGACGCUCAGACACGAAAGCUAGGGUAGCAAACGGGAUUAGACACCCCGGUAGUCCUAGCUGUAAACGAUGCAGACUUGGUGUUGGCAGUUUAAACACUGUCAGUGCCGUA
RNAcentral lists this ribosomal RNA (833 nucleotides) under uncultured Chloroflexota bacterium. Its description in RNAcentral is "bacterial SSU rRNA". It matches the Rfam family "Bacterial small subunit ribosomal RNA", at positions 8 to 850 of the family's 1533-position model. The record is from RNAcentral. Lineage: Bacteria; Bacillati; Chloroflexota.